CACGUAGGGUGCGAUCGUUGUCCGGAAUUAUUGGGCGUAAAGAGCUCGUAGGCGGUGUGUCGCGUCGGCCGUGAAAACCUGCAGCUUAACUGUGGGCUUGCGGUCGAUACGGGCAUCACUGGAGUUCGGCAGGGGAGACUGGAAUUCCUGGUGUAGCGGUGAAAUGCGCAGAUAUCAGGAGGAACACCGGUGGCGAAGGCGGGUCUCUGGGCCGAUACUGACGCUGAGGAGCGAAAGCGUGGGGAGCGAACAGG
Molecule: ribosomal RNA, 254 nt
Filed under: uncultured bacterium
Lineage: Bacteria
Description: partial 16S ribosomal RNA
Rfam family: Bacterial small subunit ribosomal RNA
Source: RNAcentral